UAAGGAAUAUUGCUCAAUGGGAGAAAUCCUGAAGCAGCAACGCCGCGUGGAGGAUGAAGGGUCUAUGACUUGUAAACUCCUGUAAAGAAGGAAAAAAUUCCCAUUAGAUGGGAGAUGAUGGUACUUCUGGAGUAAGCCCCGGCUAACUACGUGCCAGCAGCCGCGGUAAUACGUAGGGGGCAAGCGUUGUCCGGAUUUACUGGGUGCAAAGGGUGCUCAGGCGGAUUUGUAAGUCAGAGGUGAAAUCUUACAGCUUAACUGUGAAACUGCCUUUGAUACUGCAAGCCUAGAGUAUGGAAGAGAGUGAUGGAAUAUCUGGUGUAGCAGUGAAAUGCGUAGAUAUCAGAUAGAACACCUAUGGCGAAGGCAGUCACUUGGUCCAUUACUGACGCUAAAGCACGAAAGCGUGGGUAGCAAACA
Molecule: ribosomal RNA, 420 nt
Filed under: uncultured bacterium
Lineage: Bacteria
Description: bacterial SSU rRNA
Rfam family: Bacterial small subunit ribosomal RNA
Source: RNAcentral